GGAAUGGAGAGAUGAACUAAUACUUUGUAAAAAAUUACAGCAUUAGCGAUUUAAGGUAAACAACUUACAGUACUCCGAAUCAUACUGAUGUUCAUUACAAAUAAAAGAAAUUUGAUGAUGGAAACCAGUUUUCAAUAAAAUCUAGUGUUAAUAAGUUAACACCACAGAUAUAGAAAUUAAUAACAGUCAUUUAAAAUAUCAAAUGUAUUUUACGUUAACUGCAACCUCGAAUACAGAAAACUUCAUACAAAAUAAAACAAUCUCACAUGAUGUUUGCUUCUAUUGAUAGAUUACAGGUGUGAAGACUAAGACAUUAUACAAUACAAGAAAUUAAAACCAUAGGAAAAGUCGGAUUACAAAACACCAAACAAAACCUUUCUACUCAUAGUGUGUCUAAUUUGGGCGUCCUUGAUCUCUAUUUUCUUUUUUAAAGAUUAUGGGAACAUUGUAGAUAUUCCUAAAAGUUGCUGUAUUUUUCCGAUUUCUGUGAUACCUUGGUAUACACAAAUUAAUAACACUUAAUAUAAUUGUUAUAAAUAAUUGUUAUAAGACAUGCUUUAAUAUGAUAAUAGCGAUAACCAUGAUAUCAUGAUGAAUAAAUACAUAGUUCAUUUUAGAUAUUUGAGAGUAACCCCUCGUUGUCCUGACUUUAGAAUAAUGACACGUCUGAUAUUCUGUUAAAUCAUUUUAAUUGCUUAAAUUACAAUUAUUAAGAGUAAUUUAACAGUCAAUAAUAUAAAAGUUCGAUCUCUGUAUGAUGGAAGUUACUCUUCACUAAUAUAUGCGUGUUGUAACAUAAACUAUAUCACAACACGCAGUAACAUGAGUAACGCGCGGAAGUUAGAGUUAUCUUUGCUUGUUUUGUUGAUUAAAGAAUAAGAUUCACUCUUAUGUUUGUGAUACAGAUAAUGGCAAUUUGAUUACGACAUAUUUGUAUAACAAAAAUCUAUAUUUGUAUUUGACCUCAAAGGGACAUAUGAAUUCCAUCAACAUUACCUUCAAAUUGACCAACGAAAAUAAUUACAAGAAUUUUAGCAACUCCAUAGGAAUCAUGCAGGAAACUGUUAUUAAGUAGCAUCAUAUCGCGCGUAGUUUAGCAUUAGACUCUAUCUAAUUUUUAUUCAUUGGUAUAGCCUCCGAAAACUACCGAUGUUCAUUUGACCCAAAAUAAACAUACGACUCAAUUAUUUUACCUUUAAAAUGACAUGUAUUUUUGUCACACAAUUGACCAUGCUGAGAACAUGCCAAACCCAGCGCUGUAUCAUGUUAAGGUUAUCAACUUAAGGAAUAUAAAUGAGUUCGAGUUAUUGGUUUGAAAGACACUGUAAUAAAUCAGCUUUUUUAGGGUUAUUUUUUUAAAUCUUAUUUCAUCUUAAUUUCAUGAAAGCAGUUGUUCAAUUAAUCUCAUAUAUUGCAGUUUUUGGAUAAAAAAAUGUACUUAAAUGUUUUGCCUCAAUCUUAUUUCUUAAAUGUAGAUUCGCACUGAAUUCCUAUACUGACCCCCAUUACUUUUCAACCCUGUAGUAAAAAAAAUUAGUACAUUCACCAUUUUUUUUUUUUUUUUUUUUCAACUCUAGUUUUGAUCCAUCUGCCAAAAAAUAUUUAUUACAAACAUUAUCUACCAAUCAGAAGAGCAUAUGACUUCAGUGUUAUACAGAAAGCUCUCCCCUAAAUGGGCGGUCCCUGAUGACGCAUAUUUAUUUACUGAAUUUACCUCUAUAAGGGACUUUUUUACUUCUGUUCCCACUUUUUUUGUAAUAAACAUAUAAGGUAUCCAAUUUUCAAGUUCCAGUUUCAAUACAACAUUCAUAAAUGCUGAAUUUGUAAAGAUAGAGAGCAAAAUUUAUACUACAGCCCAUACUGCGGCCAAUGUAUAUUUGGUAUAUAAAGUUGCACAUUGACUGUUUUUAAAAGAAUGGUGUAAAAUACUAUGUUUAAUAAAUAUGAAUUGUUUUCUGUGUUUGCUUUGACCAGUAUUGCAAGUACACCUAGAAACUAAAGACUUGGUGUACUCUUAGUCAAAUUUUUCCUUAGAUGGAAGUUUUUGAUUAAAUACCCUGAAAAGACCACAAAAAACCUUUUAAAAGGCUUUUUUAAGCAGUUUGAUACCAAAUAAAACAACAAUUAUGUUUCAUUAUACUAAAUCUGUGUUUUAAUUACUUGUAAAGUUUACAAAAUGUCAUUGACAAUCACUCUGCAGAAAUUCCUGUUACCCCAACAUCAGGAUGGAUUCUUCGCCAAAACUAGACAGCCAGAACUGAAGUAGAAAAAAGUGCCAAAUAUGAAUAAAUAAGACUAAGUAUAACCAAACUUUGCAUUUGGAAGAUUAAAGUAACAAUUUGGAAAAUUUAAAAGCAAUUAUUUAACAUAAAAGUCCAAUUACAAACAUUUCAACACUUGUUUCCUAGAUGAAGGACAUGUAAUCAUGAAAAGUUGUAUAGUAUAGUUUUUAAAUAAAGAAACGCAAUGUGUUAUUUAAAAAUAAAUGAAUAACUUCCUGCGGUCAGAUUAUUCGAAUGUUAAAAUACUAGAAAAGUGCUUAUUUACCACUUGUUCUACAACUUAACAUGGGGAACACAGCUAAAAAAAAAAAUCACUAUGUCAAAGGGAGGUAAUCCAUUUUUUCAUAUGAUUUUAUAUACAUUAUGAGGAGAAAUAUGUGCAAAAUGUGAUGUAAAUGGGGAGAAUAUUUAUGCCUUUCAUUGAUAUCAUAACUCUAAAGUGUAAUUUCUAUUGUUUCUUUCUAUCUGCACACAAAAACUGAUUAUUUACCAUAUACUUCAUGCUUCCUCUCGAAGUACAUUCAGUGCAUGCUGGAUAGCCGCAGCUAAGAUAGACAUUUGUGUAAAAAACAACUUCAAAUGGUUCCAAAAUCCUUCCAUUACAUUAAAAUUUACAGGAAAUGAGUUUGUUGAUUAUUCUGUGGCCUUGGACAAGUACAGUGAAAGAGUGCAUAUUUUCCUAUAGGGGUAAAUUCAGUAAAAAAUCUCCCAUUGACUUUAAUGCUAAUCUAUGUAUGGAAUUAAAUUUAUACCUGAUUUACCUUUAGAAAUUUGAAACUUUCAUAUAACAUUCAUGAAAGUACAAAUGUAGCCCUAUCUUUUGCACUAAUAAAAACAUAGGGUCAUGCGGCAUUUUUGGGCAUUCACAUGGCCUUGUUUACAAACAAUGUAGAUUCGCACUGAAUUCCUAUACUGACCCCCAUUACUUUUCAACCCUGUAGUAAAAAAAAAUUAGUACAUUCAGCAUUUGUUUAAAAAAAAAUUUCAACUCUAGUUUUGAUCCAUCUGCCAAAAAAUAUUUAUUACAAACAUUAUCUACCAAUCAGAAGAGCAUAUUACUUCAGUGUUAUACAGAAAGCUCUCCCCUAAAUGGGCGGUCCCUGAUGACGUAUAUUUAUUUACUGAAUUUACCCCUAUAACUAUACUCCUUUUCUACCACAGAAAACGAAAGUGACAAAGAGAGAUCGAACAACCCCAGAUUAUUCUACUGCGUAGAUCUCAGAGGCAUAUUAUUCGAUCCGGUGAUCAGUGUUGUAACCCUUUAUCUGUGGUGUUAGUGCCUCUUUUAUAGACUGUUGAACAAGAUUCUCUUUUGAACCCCGUUCGUGACAUGUUUGACACAGCUUAUUCGCUUUCUCGAUACAACCUACACCCUUCUCUCUUCAGUCCGUUGAAUCAACCAAAUAAAAUGUACAUGUUUUGUGCUUUUCUUAUCUCUCCUAGGAGAAUAUUUAAAGGCAUUAUUUGCCCCUAAAGGCCAAACAAUCAAUAACCAACAAAUCUGUUUUGACAAUAUGACAACCCCUGGACUACGCUCAUAGGAACUUGUCCCAUGCGGGGGGGGGGGGUUGAUAUAUUACACAAAAUCACCAAAAGACAAAAUGGUUUGUUCUGUGGUAAUUAGAAAAUAAAUAAUCUGAAUGGUUUUACACUAGUAAUUUUAGGGUCCUUUAUAGCUUGUUGUUCGGUGUGAGCCAAGGCUCCGUGUUGAAGGCCGUACAUUGACCUAUAAUUGUUUACUUUUAUAAAUUGUUAUUUGGAUGGAGAGUUGUCUCAUUGGCACUCACACUACAUCUUCAUAUAUCUAUUAAGAUAUAUUGAAAAUCAUAACUCGGCAGGUCUUUUAAGCCAUUUUAUUAAUGCUAUUCCAUGUUUUUUCAAAAAAAUCGAGAAACGCAUAAAAGAAUAAAUGUAAUUAAAAUAUAUUUGAUAUGUCUCGAAACGGGUUUCAUCUAACUUGACCUAUAUUGUCUCAGGAACACUUACCUCACUUUUAUUACAUGGCUCAGGGCUGUAACUACAUUGAGGCUAUUGCCUCAUGUAGAAAAGUUCAAAACCAAACCUUGUCGUCAUAUCAAAUUGUUAAAUUACGACGAGUGUCUUGCAAGAAGCAACGUCUGUUCUUGUACUUUUCGGGGUCCAUGUUUCUUAUUUAUUUUUAGUUUUCAGUGUUACACAAGCAAGACGACUUCUGUUUCUUUUUGAAGGAUAUUCCCUAGACAUAUAAUUACUUUGAUCAGUUUUAUUUGGACUCUGUUGGAUAGUUGUCAAAUUGGCAAUCAUACAACAUCUCUUUAUAUUAUUUUGACCACAAAUCUCCUUUUGACUAGCAACAUCAGUAUCAAAUUGCAGGCCAGACUUCACUUUUCAUCAGUCUUUAAAAUUUACCUGUUUUUGAAAACACCAAUAAACUAAGAAAUAUCUGUAACAUGAUUUUUAUGUUUCUAAAACCUUUAUCAGGUACAUUUGACACUAAGAUGUUUGAAAAGAAAAUGAUAAGAAAUAUUUGAUAGAAUAAAAACUGACAAUCAUUGGUCUCUGUAGUUUCAUUGGCAGUAAUACCACAACUCUUUUAUACAGAGGACAAAAUUAUCUUAAAUGGAUUUUGUGGAAUGUUGUACAUGUAUUUGACAAUUUUUGUUAAUAUGUUACUUAUGGUUUGACACUUUGACAAACACAUUUGUUGACUUAUACAUAUAAUAUGAAAAGGAAAACCACAAAAGUGUAUUAGAUGUUUCCUUUAGCAUCAAUUUAAAUACAACUUUGAAGUUGUGUCCCAUGUAGGUUUAAUGAUAACCAAUGUCUUGAAAAAUCUAAAAUUGUAUUAUUUUUUUAAAUAUGUUAAAUGAAAACUUCAAUAAAUCCGCUAUAGAGAUCUCAUUCAUAUUUUUUCUCUCUGUUGUCUAUUUGUUGCAGAAUAAUUUUAAAAAAAACUUCCAAAAAAUUGAUUUAACUCUACUUUUAUUUACAGCAUUCUCAAAACGUUACAAUCAACUUUUGGUGUUUUUGUUGUUGACAUAAUAACAAUAUCAAUUGAAUGUUCUAUCUUCUAAAUGUCACUCUUCUUGAAGUUGUCUUCAUCUGAAAAGAAAACAAUUACAUUCAUAAUUAUACAUUUAAACUUAAUUUUAUUUAUUCCCAUAUACUGUAAGUUGUUAGUUUUAAACAUAAUGAAAUAACCUCAGUGACUUUAAUCAUGCUUUUCUGUCUCAUUUGUCUGAGUGUAUGUCGUUUCUUUUAUUUGUUCUCGGGUUUUUGUUUUGUUCAUUGAUUGCCCUUCUGUAUUCUCUUAGUUUUGAAAUCCGUUUGUAAUUUAGUAAUUUUGUUUUAAAUUUGAUCAAGACAUCUAUUUUAUUUAAGACUUUUUAGCUAAUUUUUACAACUUCACUACUUUAAAUUGCAUCCCAUUUAGAAGCAACAUCAAGUUUGUAAUGCAUAAUAAAAACUUACUUGAUAUAGUUAUAUCAAUGAUAUGCAGCCCCUUUUCAACUUAAUUAAGAACAAAACACAUAAUUUAUAGGUAUAAAAGAUUAAAAUUUUGCAAGCCGAAACACCAAUAAACAAAAAACAGCAACCAAACUUAACUAUGUAAAUAACAUUUUUACUUUAUUCUUAAUAUUAAUCUUUUGAUGUUGUCCCUAAAAAUCGAAGUCUUACACUAAAUCUAUACAUAUUGAUUUUAAACCAAAAUACUUCCGUUUUAAGAAUAAGAAAUGGUAUGGGAAACGCCCAGAAAGCAUGAUGUUGCAUCAUUUCUUUUAUAGCUUCUUGUGGACUUCUGCAGCUCCAGAACCCUUUGGUAAUUUUUAAGCAUCGCUUGGCAAAUAGGAUGCUUAAGUCAUAUUUCUGAUUCAAUCCGAAAGAGUAGAAUUUACUCAUAUCUAUUGUUUUGAUGACAACUACAUAAAUAUCAAGAAUAUAAAAGUGAAAGCCUAUUAGCAUGUGCACCUCAGCAGAUGUCAAAUAACAGUUACACAAUGUAAUACCUUUAAGACGAUUCUUUUUUUUAAAUAUAACAUUCAGUUCGUAGAAAAGUUUAACCAAUGGCAGCAAUCUUUCAAACUAGCUUUCAUUACAAUAUACAUUUAUAGAUAAAUGAAUAAAUACUACAUUUAAUGUGGAAAAUGAUUAUACGAACAACUUUAGGAAUUGUAAGCAAUGAUUUCUUAUGAUAUAAUGAAAUGACUACUUUUUGCUUUUAUAAUAUUAUUUUGUUGUAGGGUGCGCAUUCUCUAUAGUGUUAUGGCGACUUCAUCUUUGAAUUGUGGUGUUUGUGAUCUCCGCAAUAUUUCCAAACUUUUAGCGAUCUGGUACUGAAUCUGAUGAAGGACUUUGCGAGGGUUGUCAGGAACAUCACAGCUGAUCUAAAGG
RNAcentral lists this long non-coding RNA (6653 nucleotides) under Mytilus galloprovincialis (Mediterranean mussel). The record is from RNAcentral. Lineage: Eukaryota; Metazoa; Mollusca; Bivalvia; Mytilida; Mytilidae.